Molecule: long non-coding RNA, 1529 nt
Organism: Tachysurus fulvidraco (yellow catfish)
Lineage: Eukaryota; Metazoa; Chordata; Actinopteri; Siluriformes; Bagridae
Exons: 4
Source: RefSeq, a predicted model, not a curated record
CAUUAUGUAACAGUCUGCAUUUCAGGGACAAAGUCUACAGUAAUGAAUAAAGCAUAAGCAGCACAGUGCUUCUGAUUUAGGAAAAAGCAUCGAUUCAUGAGGAAAAGUAUAAUAAGGGCAGGAGCUGUUUAUCAUUGCUUUCUAAAAGAGCUGACAUGCUCAGUCUACAUAACAAGAGAGCUAUUCAUCUAAAACUCUGCUCCCUUAUUUCCCUUAAAAAAUCGGUUGGGUGCUCGUGCUGCAGUCUGCAAGGUCCCAGGAAAAAAAAAGUGAAGAGUGCUCUUUUGAACUUUGAAUGUUUAAUCAAGAUUGGAAGUGAUCUCUUCAAGAAGGUUGAAUAGAGAUCUCCUGGGAAUGCGGAAGAUGAGCAUAGUGUCCAAAUUAGGCAUGGUUCCAGUGCCGCACUCUUUCUAUGGGAUCUGGUCAUUGCAUCUGGUUCAAGUCAUCUCCAUCAUGUUCAGCCUCUAUUAGAAGCCCUUGACAUCUUAACAAGGAUCUACAUUGUGUAAAUGUCACCCUGCAAUCUCAAAGAUUAUCAUUCUUCUCUCACUCCAUUCACGAAAGGACAAAAACAAAUGUGUAUAGUGCUACAGAGGUGAAAUUGCGGAGAUAAUCAUGGCUUCACACAUUAAUCUCGCUAUUGUAUUUAAAUCCUAGAAUUGCUAGAUUAUUAUUCACCACAUUGCAAAAUGAUUGAACAUGCUGUCACAUUGGAUGGAAAAAGAAAAAGACUAUACAAGAAUAGAAAGAUAAUCUUAUAGUUAAACAAAAAGAGAUGAUCCAAUGCACUAUACCACCAAAAGUAUGCGGAUACCUGAUCACUACAUUCAUAUGCAGAUCUACCAUAAACGGUUGCAAACAUGGAGUUUUCUAGAAUGUCUUUGUAUUUUGUAGCAUUUUCCUUCAGUCAAACUAAGAUGUCCAAACCUGCUCCAGUAUGACAAUGCUCCUGUGCACAAAGUGAGGUCUAUCAUGACAUGGUUUGCCAAGGUUGGCAUAGAACUUGAGUGGCCUGCAAAGAACCCUGACCUCAACAGCAACACUUUGUAAUUACUGUAAGUGAAAUGCUGUCUGUAUCGCAAACCUCCGCAUCAGACAUCAGUGCCUGACCUCAUGAAUUAACACAGCCAUGCUAAAAAAUCUAGUAGUGGGAGUAAAAGGUGGGAGUAAAUAUGGAAUAUGAUGCUCAGCAAGCAAAUGUGUCUGAUUUUAUCAUUGCACUCAAAUUUUAUUGGUCACAUCCAUACAGCCAUACACAGUACAAUAAGUAAAGUAAUCUUUAUGAUAAUUAUACUACAGUAACAACUAACACAGGGACUUGUUACUCACACUAUGAUGGAUGAUGGAUAAUUUUUUUUAUUAAAAUGCAUAGAAUUGUUGAUAUGGAGAUGUUUUAGUUGAUGAGAUGUUUUUUUAUGAGUCCGUAGUAGAGGUCUUCUCGGGUCUAAAGAAAUGUCACUUUUUACCCAAACCCGACGUGCAUAAUUUAUUAUUUAUUUUUUUAAAGAAAGCCCCGACCCGAGACAAAC